ACCAUGCAGUCGAGCGGUAACAGGUCUAGCUUGCUAGACGCUGACGAGCGGCGGACGGGUGAGUAAUGCAUAGGAAUCUGCCCGAUAGUGGGGGAUAACCUGGGGAAACCCAGGCUAAUACCGCAUACGUCCUACGGGAGAAAGGGGGCUUCGGCUCGCGCUAUCGGAUGAGCCUAUGUCGGAUUAGCUAGUUGGUGGGGUAAUGGCCCACCAAGGCGACGAUCCGUAGCUGGUCUGAGAGGAUGAUCAGCCACAUCGGGACUGAGACACGGCCCGAACUCCUACGGGAGGCAGCAGUGGGGAAUAUUGGACAAUGGGGGCAACCCUGAUCCAGCCAUGCCGCGUGUGUGAAGAAGGCCUUCGGGUUGUAAAGCACUUUCAGCGAGGAAGAACGCCUGGGAAUUAAUACCUCCCUGGAAAGACAUCACUCGCAGAAGAAGCACCGGCUAACUCCGUGCCAGCAGCCGCGGUAAUACGGAGGGUGCAAGCGUUAAUCGGAAUUACUGGGCGUAAAGCGCGCGUAGGUGGCUUGAUAAGCCGGUUGUGAAAGCCCCGGGCUCAACCUGGGAACGGCAUCCGGAACUGUCAAGCUAGAGUGCAGGAGAGGAAGGUAGAAUUCCCGGUGUAGCGGUGAAAUGCGUAGAGAUCGGGAGGAAUACCAGUGGCGAAGGCGGCCUUCUGGACUGACACUGACACUGAGGUGCGAAAGCGUGGGUAGCAAACAGGAUUAGAUACCCUGGUAGUCCACGCCGUAAACGAUGUCGACCAGCCGUUGGGUGCCUAGCGCACUUUGUGGCGAAGUUAACGCGAUAAGUCGACCGCCUGGGGAGUACGGCCGCAAGGUUAAAACUCAAAUGAAUUGACGGGGGCCCGCACAAGCGGUGGAGCAUGUGGUUUAAUUCGAUGCAACGCGAAGAACCUUACCUACCCUUGACAUCUACAGAACCCGGAAGAGAUUCCGGGGUGCCUUCGGGAACUGUAAGACAGGUGCUGCAUGGCUGUCGUCAGCUCGUGUUGUGAAAUGUUGGGUUAAGUCCCGUAACGAGCGCAACCCUUGUCCUUAUUUGCCAGCACGUAAUGGUGGGAACUCUAAGGAGACUGCCGGUGACAACCGGAGGAAGGUGGGGACGACGUCAGUCAUCAUGGCCCUUACGGGUAGGGCUACCACGUGCUACAUGGCCGGGACAAAGGGUUGCAAAUUGCCAAAGUAACCAUCCCC
This 1219-nucleotide ribosomal RNA is filed under the name Halomonas sp. Its description in RNAcentral is "bacterial SSU rRNA". It matches the Rfam family "Bacterial small subunit ribosomal RNA", at positions 53 to 1275 of the family's 1533-position model. Lineage: Bacteria; Pseudomonadati; Pseudomonadota; Gammaproteobacteria; Oceanospirillales; Halomonadaceae. The record is from RNAcentral.